GCAUUUGAAACUGGCAGACUAGAGUACUGUAGAGGGGGGUAGAAUUUCAGGUGUAGCGGUGAAAUGCGUAGAGAUCUGAAGGAAUACCGGUGGCGAAGGCGGCCCCCUGGACAGAUACUGACACUCAGAUGCGAAAGCGUGGGGAGCAAACAGGAUUAGAUACCCUGGUAGUCCACGCCGUAAACGAUGUCUACUUGGAGGUUGUGGCCUUGAGCCGUGGCUUUCGGAGCUAACGCGUUAAGUAGACCGCCUGGGGAGUACGGUCGCAAGAUUAAAACUCAAAUGAAUUGACGGGGGCCCGCACAAGCGGUGGAGCAUGUGGUUUAAUUCGAUGCAACGCGAAGAACCUUACCUACUCUUGACAUCCAGAGAACUUUCCAGAGAUGGAUUGGUGCCUUCGGGAACUCUGAGACAGGUGCUGCAUGGCUGUCGUCAGCUCGUGUUGUGAAAUGUUGGGUUAAGUCCCGCAACGAGCGCAACCCUUAUCCUUGUUUGCCAGCGAGUAAUGUCGGGAACUCCAGGGAGACUGCCGGUGAUAAACCGGAGGAAGG
This 551-nucleotide ribosomal RNA is filed under the name Vibrio parahaemolyticus. RNAcentral's name for it is "bacterial SSU rRNA". It matches the Rfam family "Bacterial small subunit ribosomal RNA", at positions 623 to 1173 of the family's 1533-position model. The record is from RNAcentral. Lineage: Bacteria; Pseudomonadati; Pseudomonadota; Gammaproteobacteria; Vibrionales; Vibrionaceae.